Molecule: transfer RNA, 77 nt
Filed under: Paracoccaceae bacterium
Lineage: Bacteria; Pseudomonadati; Pseudomonadota; Alphaproteobacteria; Rhodobacterales; Paracoccaceae
Description: tRNA-Pro
Rfam family: tRNA
About the family: Transfer RNA (tRNA) molecules are approximately 80 nucleotides in length. Their secondary structure includes four short double-helical elements and three loops (D, anti-codon, and T loops). Further hydrogen bonds mediate the characteristic L-shaped molecular structure. tRNAs have two regions of fundamental functional importance: the anti-codon, which is responsible for specific mRNA codon recognition, and the 3' end, to which the tRNAs corresponding amino acid is attached (by aminoacyl-tRNA synthetases). tRNAs cope with the degeneracy of the genetic code in two manners: having more than one tRNA (with a specific anti-codon) for a particular amino acid; and 'wobble' base-pairing, i.e. permitting non-standard base-pairing at the 3rd anti-codon position.
Source: RNAcentral
CGGGGCGUGGCGCAGCCUGGUAGCGCGGCGGUUUUGGGAACCGUAGGUCGCAAGUUCAAAUCUUGCCGCCCCGACCA